GUGAAUCAUCGAAUUUUUGAACGCAAAUUGCACUCUCUUCGGAGAGUAUGCCUGUUUGAGGUUCAGCCUAAAAAAUAUCGACAUCGUUUCUGUUUCGCGGUGGCGUUCGUCGGAAGGUGGGUUAUCUUAACUCUUUGGUUUAAGUGAUAUAAAAUCUUCUGUACGAUUCCAUGAACGUUUCUAUGAUUUAUUUCUUUAAACGUUUAAGGUAUUGAUUUUAUUAGGCGUGGUC
Molecule: unclassified non-coding RNA, 232 nt
Filed under: Glomeraceae sp.
Lineage: Eukaryota; Fungi; Glomeromycota; Glomeromycetes; Glomerales; Glomeraceae
Description: partial contains 5.8S ribosomal RNA and internal transcribed spacer 2
Rfam family: 5.8S ribosomal RNA (bases 1-65)
Source: RNAcentral